This 339-nucleotide ribosomal RNA is filed under the name uncultured Anaerolineaceae bacterium. Its description in RNAcentral is "bacterial SSU rRNA". It matches the Rfam family "Bacterial small subunit ribosomal RNA", at positions 1028 to 1382 of the family's 1533-position model. The record is from RNAcentral. Lineage: Bacteria; Bacillati; Chloroflexota; Anaerolineae; Anaerolineales; Anaerolineaceae.
CUUAGCACAGGUGCUGCAUGGCUGUCGUCAGCUCGUGUCGUGAGAUGUUCGGUUAAGUCCGCUAACGAGCGCAACCCUCGUCGUAUGUUAUAUGUGUCAUACGAGACUGCCGGUAAAAGCCGGAGGAAGGUGAGGAUGAUGUCAAGUCAGCAUGACCUUUAUAUCCAGGGCUACACACACGCUACAAUGGUCUGUACAGUGGGUAGCCAAGCUGCGAGGCGGAGCCAAUCCUGAAAGCAGGCCUCAGUUCAGAUUGCAGUCUGCAACUCGACUGCAUGAAGCCGGAGUUGCUAGUAACCGCAGGUCAGCAAUACUGCGGUGAAUACGUUCCCGGGUCUU